GCGGCUGCGGCGGGGCCGGGAGAGGCGGCAGCGAGGAGCUCAGGGGUUUCGUCCGGCAGGGAGUGAGAUCCUGUCCACUUGCCGCUGAAACCUCCUAAAAGAUUCAGUUGGAAACCGGAUUAAGUAUUAAGGCCGGAGACCAUCUGCGAGCUUAGCCAUUAAAUCCCUGGAGCAACAAGCCUCUGUUUUAAAUUCAUGUGAUAUAAUACUGCCCUCUUUAUAAUAAGUUUUCAUGCCAGAAGAACACAGUCAAACUAUAAUGGCAGUUGAUGAACUUCAAGCCAUAAUACAAAGAUGUCAAAUUCUGGAAGAAGCUGAUUUCAAAGGAGAAGAUUUUAAUCUGUUUCAGGUAGCAGGUCAGAAAUGUUUGGAAGAUGGAUAUGCAGCUCAGUUAUUAGAAGUAAUUCAAAAUGAGAAAAACAAGGUUAUCAUCAAGAAUAUGGGUUGGAAUCUCAUUUCUCCUCUUGUUAGAUGUAUUUUCAUCUAUAAACAAGAAGAUGAUAAGCGAGAACACUGCCUGAGGAUACUAGAACAGUUGGCACAGCUCUGCAAUCCAAAGGAACUUUUUUUGGGUUUACUGGAGCAGAUUGAGCAGACCUCUGGAGAGCAAGUGUGUCAAACUGUCAUGUUAUUGCUUCAGCCUUUGCAGACAGUGCUUUUGAAACUUCAGAACAAGAAGGCCUACUCAGUGGGUUUGUCAUUGGCCAUGAUUAUGAAUCAGCUCACUCCAUUACCUGUACCCUACACAAAACAACAAAUACAAGAAGAUAAACUUGGUCUCUGUCAAUGUUGUAAUGCAGUGGUGGACUUUGCUAAACCUUUUGUGAAUGAAGUUGUUAAAAAUAUGGAAAAGUCGUCAGAAUACAAUGACAUGGAGCUGAAAGAAGAAUUAAUAAAAUUCUGUAUGAAAAGCCUGCAAUACCCAUUAUUGAUAGCUCAGCUUGAGCAACUUGAGGGCAUUGAAGAACAUCCUUUUCGGCAUUUUGCAACUGAAAUUACAGGCAUUUUGUGGAACAUUGGAGAAUUGAUACCAUUAGUGUUUGUACAUCACAAGGGCAAAAGUCCACACUGGGAGAAUCAGGAGUUUGCAGACAUAGAGCGAAAGAAUUCCGCCGAUUCUUUGGCAUGUCUGUCAUAUCUGAUGUUUGUUCAGCAUUUUGGUGUCGAAUGCUUCCCAGUGGUUUUUAGUCCUUCAUACCUUCUGCUGUGCAAUAUGACACAUAUUGAAGUGCUGCUGAAAAGAACAGAAGAAUCUGUAUUAUCUAAAGGACUUGAUCUGUUUGAGAGCUGUUUAUUGAGAAUGGAAGAUAACAGCCUGCACCAUCACUAUUUAGAAUUCAGAGACUUUAUUAAUGUACCUCAGGAUUUGGUGAAAAUUAUGACCCUUUGUCCCAUGGAGCAUAUGAGAAAGAAGAGUUUAAGUAUUUUGCAGUUGUUCAUAGACAAGUUUGAUACAGAGGGAAAAUAUGCAUUAUUCAGGUGUUUACUGAAGACAAGCAACCAUGCUGGUGUGGAAGGAUACAUUAUUAAAAAUAUAAAAGAUCAGAUUCACUUGGCAUUAACGGAGUAUGACAACAUUUGGUUUAUGGGACAUCACCUGAUCUCCCUUCUAGAUUUAGUACUUUCACUUCCAGAAGGUGCUGAGACCGAUCUUCUGCAAAAUUCAGACAGGAUUAUGGCAUCAUUAAAUCUGCUGAGAUACUUGAUCAUUAAGGAUUGUGAAAGUGACAAUCAGACUGGUGUAUGGACCACACUUGGCAAGAUAGAGCAGAAUUUCUUAAAACCACUGCGUGUAGGACUCAAUAUGUCAAAAGCACAUUAUGAAGCGGAAAUAAAAAAUAAGAAAGAGAACAGAAAAGAGGCACACAGUUCUAACACAGUUUGCUCUGUAACUGUUAGUGGGGAAAAGAUGCCUGCCAUGACUACCGGAAUGCAGCUUCAAGUUUUACACUCAGCUCUCUUUACAUUUGAUUUAAUAGAAAGUGUUCUAGCUCGAGUAGAAGAACUCAUUGAAGUGAAAACAAAAGCUGUAAUGGAUGAAAAUAGUUAAGGGAGUGAAGUGUUUGAAUUACCAUACUCCUGAAAAGAACAUCUGAACUAUGAGACUUCAGUUACAAGGGAUGCUAUGGCCCUUUAAAGAAGAGCAAUUUAGAGUGGCCUCCAGAAGAACUGCAAAUGCUGCUCUUCAUAAGUCUUGUUGCUGUUCUUUUUUAUUUUCUUUUGCUCUUGUUGCAUGUUAUUUGCAGAUAAUGUCUAUUUACUCCUCUUCAGAAUUGUGAGCUUUUUCUUAUGUUUGGAAACUAAAAGCAGGGGUGUGCUCUUCUCUGUGGCAAGGAGUAGGUGUUCAGGAAUGCUGUACACAGAGGUGAUAGUAUUUGAACAGGAGUUAACAGUAAAUGAUGACAUCCUAACUUAACAAUGAGCUAAAACAGGAGAGGGACUUCACAACAAAGAAUGAGGAAUUUUAAAUAACCAAAAUGAAUUUAAAUAAUGCAGAUGAAGUGCCCAGCUGCUCAGUUGCAUAGUCCCCUGUGACCUCCCCUUGUGCCUGCCACCUGUUCUUCCCUGCAAUCUGUCUGAUGACUUGGACUCAUUCACAUUAAGACCUCCUGCUGGUAAGGUAUCUCAUCUGAACUUGUCUGCCCUUGCUCCUAAUUAGCAAAAAUAAAUGUUACAGGAACUGUCCUUCGCUAAGCAUAGGCACUCAGGUCCCUGGUGAAUUUUGCCAAAAUGUGAUGUAGGAACAAUGGUUGGAUUUACAUUUAGGGAUUAGGGAAAUAAAUUGAUGCAAUUUUGCAAAUACUGGAAUGGGCUAAACAAAGCAUGGAUGAACAAAGUGCAACAACUAAAUAAUUACAUGUACUUAACUAGAUACAUGAAAAUCUAUUUCUAUAAAUAGUUUUGCUUCCAAUAACAGCAGGUCUAAAUUUAGUGUUAUUAAUUUGACUGAUGGACAGAAUACUGGAAAUUUUAACAUGGCUGGCCUUUCCUCCAAGGUGUUUAAAACAUACCAUACAGAUGUACUGAGGUUAUUUCUUAGCUUAUUUAAGCUGCUAUGAUAAACAUUACUUUUCUCCCACUUCCACCAUGCUAUACACAAUUCUGCAUAAAGUGUUCGUGUUGUUAACAAGAAUCCUUUAAUUUUCUUGUUAAUAAUAACAAAAAAAUAAUCCUUCCCCAACUGUAGCAAAGCCAUAGAUAAGCAGAAAGAAAUAGUAAUAAAAGACAACCUGAUGAUACUAAGGGGCUUUUUUUUUUUUAACAAAUCCAACAGGUGGCUUUUAAUUUCAAAGAACAUGGCACAAGUUUCAACCCCACUAGGAGAAGCUCAGUCAGUGAUUUACAAACAAUAGCAGAACUUCAAGCUGCCAGACAAGACAUGGAUUCACAUCUGAUUUCUCUCUCCUGUUGGUCUACCACACCCAAAUUAGAGUAACCCCGCUCUGCAAAGGUGUUCCAGAGAGCAGUGACAGGACCCACAAACUGAAACCGUGUUCUGUAACACACUGGAACCAUAUGCUAUGACUGAAUACAAAAAUCAAGGACUUAAGAACAUCAGGAAUAAUUUUAAAGUACAAUUAUAAAAUAAUAGAGAAGUUUUAUGAUGAGGAUUGGUGAUCCUGCUGACAUUUGUCAAUAUGAAUUUUGAAUUUAUGCACACUGUGAAUGAAUUUGUUUCAGUGCUGGAAAGAGUUAAAGAGUAGGAGCUGCUUUGUUUUUAAGGGUUAUACUUGAUCUAUAACACUACAGUGUAUCUGAAUUCAUAUCUUGGAUUAUGUUUAAUAUGUACAUGAAUUAAUUGAAUUACUGCUAUUCAGAUAGAGAAAAAAUAAUAGUAGGGAAUAUAAUGGAAUAAAGAAUGAUUCCCAGAGUAAAUAUAUUUAACAGUUGACUAGAGUUCAGUUUCUUUAGGUGUAAUACUGUUAGAGAUGGGCAGUACAUAAAAGAAAGGGUAAAUUAUUACAUUAAAAAAAUUGUAAUUACAAAGAAAUAUAAAUAUGGGAUUUAGGCUCCUGUGAUACCAGCAGGUACCUUUUUUCCCUGAUAGCCACUCACUGUGCAUGAAUCUGGACACCCCCAAACUCUGAAUAUCACUUGAGAAGCAUCAAAGUACAGUGGUGGAUAAGUGUGGGACAUUGAGAAAAACCCAAAUCUUAACAGAAAAUGCUUCUUUUUGGUAUUUUGAUAUAAAUAUAAUAUCUUCUUUGUUGUUGUUAUACAUUUACUUGUGUAAAUUAUGUGUCUUAAUUACAGUUCAAAUACUUAUACCAGAAACUUAAUAUAUUUCUGCUUAUCACUUACAUUUGACAAUAGCUGGUAUUUGAAAUAAAAGUAGGACUCUUUCUGAGACAGAAGGUUCUGAGUAGAAUGGACCCUGGACUCUGCACUGUCUCUUGUGUGAGAGCUGCCCUGGCCUAAUGCUUGUCUGGUACAAAUCUGAUGCAAUGGGACAUGCUGAGCGCCUGGGACUCUGUCCAAGUGACAAUUCUGGUAGAAAUUUGUUCUGCAAUACCAUUUGAGUAUUUCAUGACUUGACUUUCUCUUUUUUUGAGCCUGGAUGUCAGAACACUAAUUAAAUAGAGCUUGGGCUCAAAGAAAAUACAUUUUUCUGAACUGAAAGAGCAUUCAGAGCAUUCUUCUCCACAGUAGUUUCCUUUCCCAAAAGGGACUUUUGAGGGAUCCUGUACUAUCUGAUGAGUUCAAGUUAUUUUCCUACUUACUGUUAUCUCUGCUGUAACAGUUUCUGACAUUUGGCUAGUCUUAGCUUUAAAUCUCAGAAGCAUUUCUCUCCCACAUACAUACAUGGUGCAUUUCACAUACAGGUGAAGGUGCAGGAGAGAGAAAGAACAGGGCUGAGUCUGGCAGCAUAUCAAAUAUUUCCUGGAAGCAGAGUACAGAACCCCACUUAGGCAAGAAUAGAAAGAUUUUGUGACUAGAACUCCCCUAUGAUGAAGAUAAUGGCAUAAGCAUUUGAAUUAAUAACUAAUUUAUGACAAGGCAAAAUCUAUCAUCAAAUUAGUGUUUCUCUAUGUUCUCCUGACCCAUAUCCUUUAUGUUCUACAUCAGCACCAUUGUUUGAUUUUGUGGGACUGUUACAUAGGUAUCUUCCCCUCUAUGUAUUUUUAUAUGAAAACUGAUUGUCAAUCUUCACACACAUAUCACCUGUCCUGUUCUCUGACACAAUUAAAAAAAAAAAUAAUAAAAAAAAAAUUUUCUUUUAAAGGAGAAAAAGGACUGAAAGUUCACUAAACAGAUGGAAAAUAACUUUUUUUUUCUUUUGCCAUUUAAAGAGCACAAAUAAAAACUGAUGUCAGCAGUCCACAAGUUGAAUGAAGUACAGUGACUCAGCAUUUAACUCACACAUAGGAUUUAUUAUUUUCUGUCAUACAGAAAUCAACUAAGAACCUUCAGUAUGUAGUAUGGGGAAGAAAGGUUGUGGGACUAUGCAACCAUACAGAUAUUCUGGAAACAGAACACCAUGUUGACAAGAAAUCAUUUCAAAGUAGGAUUACUUAGGCCCCAGCUCGUUAUCUAAGUCUGGAAAGCAAGCAGGUGGGAAACAUGCAAGCAUUCAGUUCGAGAGCUUAACACCCUUCCCUCCUCUCCACAGGACUGAGUGAUCAAAAUAUUUUAGGACCAUAAAGCCAUGGACUACAGUUAGUGACUCAAACUUUUCUUCAUAUGCAUCCCAUUAUACAUAUAUUGGAUUAAUCUUGGUUACUAGAACAUAAUCCAGAAAAUAGAGAUUGAAGGUUUUUAUUUCCUCUACAGAUGCAGGAGGGGAUUUUGUUACAGGCAGGAAGUUUGACUUAGAAGUGGGUCUUUUAUUUAUGGAUAUUACCUCAUUGUGUGAAAGUCACAAAAAGUUCUUACACUGCCUACUCUAGAUCUGGUAUGUACACAGGGUUUGUCUUAUCUGUAUUGAUCUUAAGCACACUGAUAUAACUUUACUGGCAGGAUGUCAUGCCAUACUUGAAAGAGAGUUAUUAAAAAAAAUAAGUGAAGAACAAAAAUUAUUAAGCAUAACUCUAAGAAAAUUGAAAAAAAUUCUGACAUAAGGAUUGCAUAGGUGAAGAUAUUGUAGAUUAAAGUAAGUAGGUGAGAUCAGUCUCAAAAGCGUUUUAUACAUUUAAGGUACAUGAGCCAAAAUUUUUACUCCAGUAACUAGUCUUCCUGUCCAGACACUUAAAUAAAGUGGUCUUUAUAAAUGUGCAUCUGAUAGCACUCACACUAAGUUCAGCAGGAGCUGAGAAAGAGUAGUCACUGUCACUCGAGUGCAUAAAUACAAAGUAUGAUGGACUACCUGGAUAACUGGGCUGAAUCCCAAAUUUGUGCAUGUGGACCUCUGUUCAGGUUCACCAGAAUACACACUCUAGUCCAGUUAACAGUCAUCAUCUUUAAGUAUACAAACCCUAUUUUGAGCAUCAGUGUCCUUGUUAAACGAAUCUAGUUACUUAGUUACAGUCAGCCUCUCCAGAUAUUGAAGUUUGAGUUACUGAAGUAUGCGUAUGAAGUACUGCACAGAAAAGUAUGUAUUCAUACUUUACUGUGCAAUAGAGAAAGGACUUUUGUUGCAUGUAAUGCAAAAAGAUUCUUAGGACUUUGAUUUUUCUAACUGGACAGUCUUCUGAGAAGUCAUUUAAGGAGAACAGGGAAGCAAUUUAAUGGUAUUCCAUGAUUAAUUAUUUCAUACUUUAACUGCAUCCAGAUGGUUCAUCAGGAUUAGAAUCUCAUUAAGCUGAGUACCAUAUAAAAACACAAGUAUGCACAGUGCCUGCCCCCAGUGUCAGCUCCAUUACCCUCUCUGAAAAGAAAAUGUUAAGCUGAAAGCCAAUCUGCAGAUGUGGCUGUGGAUUCACUUCUGUGUUUGCAGAACUGUGGCUUAAUAGAGUGUACAGUGCAGAUUGCAAAGAGAAGUAUGUAAGGAAGGUCAAAUGCAAGAAAUAAACAGGUGUAUGUGCACGCCUGCUCUGUAUAGCUUCUUCUGUUUUCAGUUACCAAAUGUAAAACAAAGAAAUUACCAAACUCAGUGUUUUUCCCCAGUUGAUAUCCAGCUUUUAGAUCAAUCACUUUUCUCUGUUACAGGUUUAGUUUCCUUAAACACACAGUAGUUGUCAAUAGGAAGAAGCUAGGUUUUAAAUUAGCUAAAGACAUUUGAACUGUAAUUUUUCCAAAGUUGAACAUCAAAGCUUAUUUUAAAAGAAAAUUGCAUAUAGCUUUUGUUCAAGAGAGAAGGAUGAAAAUCAGUGUGGAUUUUCUGCAAGAGAUGAAAGCUUCUAAUUAUAUUUGAUUUCAGAUAUGAAAGCCCAUUUCCAGAGAAUCAUCUGUUGUAAUAAAGCUGCAAUACUUCUCAUUU
Molecule: non-coding RNA, 7357 nt
Organism: Cyanistes caeruleus (blue tit)
Lineage: Eukaryota; Metazoa; Chordata; Aves; Passeriformes; Paridae
Source: RefSeq, a predicted model, not a curated record